Molecule: ribosomal RNA, 439 nt
Filed under: uncultured bacterium
Lineage: Bacteria
Description: partial 16S ribosomal RNA
Rfam family: Bacterial small subunit ribosomal RNA
Source: RNAcentral
CUACGGGCCGCAGCAGUGGGGAAUAUUGGACAAUGGGCGCAAGCCUGAUCCAGCAAUGCCGCGUGAGUGAAGACGGCCUUAGGGUUGUAAAACUCUUUCGCUAGGGAAGAUAAUGACUGUACCUAGUAAAGAAGUCCCGGCUAACUCCGUGCCAGCAGCCGCGGUAAUACGGAGGGGACUAGCGUUGUUCGGAAUUACUGGGCGUAAAGAGUUCGUAGGCGGACUGACAAGUUAGAGGUGAAAUCCCAGGGCUCAACCCUGGAACUGCCUUUAAAACUGUCAGUCUAGAGACCGGAAGAGGUUAGGGGAAUACCUAGUGUAGAGGUGAAAUUCGUAGAUAUUAGGUGGAACACCAGUGGCGAAGGCGCCUAACUGGUCCGGUACUGACGCUGAGGAACGAAAACGUGGGGAGCAAACAGGAUUAGAUACCCUGGUAGUC